ACGAACGCUGGCGGCGUGCUUCACACCUGCAAGUCGAACGGAAAGGCCCUGCUUUUGUGGGGUGCUCGAGUGGCGAACGGGUGAGUAACACGUGAGUAACCUGCCCUUGACUUUGGGAUAACUUCAGGAAACUGGGGCUAAUACCGGAUAUGAGCUCCUGCUGCAUGGUGGGGGUUGGAAAGUUUCGGCGGUUGGGGAUGGACUCGCGGCUUAUCAGCUUGUUGGUGGGGUAGUGGCUUACCAAGGCUUUGACGGGUAGCCGGCCUGAGAGGGUGACCGGCCACAUUGGGACUGAGAUACGGCCCAGACUCCUACGGGAGGCAGCAGUGGGGAAUAUUGCACAAUGGGCGGAAGCCUGAUGUAGCAACGCCGCGUGCGGGAUGACGGCCUUCGGGUUGUAAACCGCUUUCGCCUGUGACGAAGCGUGAGUGACGGUAAUGGGUAAAGAAGCACCGGCUAACUACGUG
RNAcentral lists this ribosomal RNA (467 nucleotides) under uncultured bacterium. Its description in RNAcentral is "partial 16S ribosomal RNA". It matches the Rfam family "Bacterial small subunit ribosomal RNA", at positions 29 to 507 of the family's 1533-position model. The record is from RNAcentral.